UGAUGCUCCUUGCAGUAGCUGUGCCAAGGUAAUACCUUUUUGUUUUGGUUCUUCUGCUAGUGGGCUUAGCAUGGGAACAUGGAUUACUAUUUUCUUUAUGAAAUUAGUUAUAUCAUCUAAUUUUAUGUUGAAUCUGUAUUUUAUCUUUCUUAUAUUAGUGUUGCACAAUUUUUCUUUUAAUAAUCUUUCACUUGGUUUAUAUAUGUUUGGUAAAUACAUCAGUCUACCAUGCCUUCUCUUGUUUUUAUCCUAAACUUCUCCCCAAUCCCACACCCCUCUUUGUUGAGCAUCUUUCCUUAACAAUGUUAUAGAAAAAAAAAAGAAAAAAAAGAAGAAGAAGAAGAAGAAGAAGAAAGAAGAGUUUGUGGAUAAAGGGACAUUUUCACUGGUUUUUCCUUAAUUUUGUUCGGCUGCAAUGAGAAAUUUGAAAGAUAAGUGGUUGUAGGCAUGUAGCCGGUUUAGCCAUCAUGAGAAAAAAAAAAAAUUGGACUAUAGCUUUUAUCAUUUAAUUUUUGGAAUUGAGAAUAAAGUAUUUCUGAAACCCAGCACCUCACACCUUGGCUAGUUACCAUAUGAAGUAUAGGCUGAAUGUGUGGUAUAUAUGAAAGGAAGUGAAUGUACUGGUAUAUAUGAAUUUUAGGCUGUUGUUGAAGUGUUCAGAAAAGACACUUCUAUUCCCCUCACGUAUCAAACUAAAGAUGCAGCUUUAACAAGAAUUUGCUGUCAUCUAUAUAAAUUGACUACAAUGGUUAAACCUCAAGGUUUCAUUGAAUUUAUUGAGAUGAAAAUUAUCUUGAGUUUAGUGUACAUGGUUCAUGUAGGGGGCAAAUGCUUUGUACAAGCCAAAA
RNAcentral lists this unclassified non-coding RNA (848 nucleotides) under Hevea brasiliensis (rubber tree). The record is from RNAcentral. Lineage: Eukaryota; Viridiplantae; Streptophyta; Magnoliopsida; Malpighiales; Euphorbiaceae.